Molecule: ribosomal RNA, 910 nt
Filed under: human gut metagenome
Description: bacterial SSU rRNA
Rfam family: Bacterial small subunit ribosomal RNA
Source: RNAcentral
AGAGUUUGAUCCUGGCUCAGGAUGAACGCUGGCGGCGUGCCUAAUACAUGCAAGUCGAACGCUUCACUUCGGUGAAGAGUGGCGAACGGGUGAGUAAUACAUAAGUAACCUGGCCUUUACAGGGGGAUAACUAUUGGAAACGAUAGCUAAGACCGCAUAGGUGUCAUAACCGCAUGGAGAUGACAUGAAAUAUGCUACGGCAUAGGUAGAGGAUGGACUUAUGGCGCAUUAGCUAGUUGGAGGGGUAACGGCCCACCAAGGCGACGAUGCGUAGCCGACCUGAGAGGGUGACCGGCCACACUGGGACUGAGACACGGCCCAGACUCCUACGGGAGGCAGCAGUAGGGAAUUUUCGGCAAUGGGGGAAACCCUGACCGAGCAACGCCGCGUGAAGGAAGAAGUAAUUCGUUAUGUAAACUUCUGUCAUAGAGGAAGAACGGUGCAUGUAGGGAAUGACAUGCAAGUGACGGUACUCUAUAAGAAAGCCACGGCUAACUACGUGCCAGCAGCCGCGGUAAUACGUAGGUGGCGAGCGUUAUCCGGAAUUAUUGGGCGUAAAGAGGGAGCAGGCGGCACUAAGGGUCUGUGGUGAAAGAUCGAAGCUUAACUUCGGUAAGCCAUGGAAACCGUAGAGCUAGAGUGUGUGAGAGGAUCGUGGAAUUCCAUGUGUAGCGGUGAAAUGCGUAGAUAUAUGGAGGAACACCAGUGGCGAAGGCGACGAUCUGGCGCAUAACUGACGCUCAGUCCCGAAAGCGUGGGGAGCAAAUAGGAUUAGAUACCCUAGUAGUCCACGCCGUAAACGAUGAGUACUAAGUGUUGGGAGUCAAAUCUCAGUGCUGCAGUUAACGCAAUAAGUACUCCGCCUGAGUAGUACGUUCGCAAGAAUGAAACUCAAAGGAAUUGACGGGGG